GUGAAUCAUCAAAUUUUUGAACGCAAAUUGCACUCUCCUCGGAGAGUAUGCCUGUUUGAGGGUCAGCCUAUAAAAAAUCGACAUCGUUGCUGUUUCGCGGUGACAUUCGUCGGAAAUUGGGUCAUCUUAAAUCCUUUUGAUUUAAGCGACUUAAAAUUUUCUUUUUGAUUCCAUGAACGUUUCUAAGAUUUAUUUAUUUGUUUAUUGAAUGGAUCUUUUUUUGAUUUGGCCG
RNAcentral lists this unclassified non-coding RNA (232 nucleotides) under Glomeraceae sp. RNAcentral's name for it is "partial contains 5.8S ribosomal RNA and internal transcribed spacer 2". The stretch from base 1 to 65 matches the Rfam family "5.8S ribosomal RNA", at positions 84 to 154 of the family's 154-position model. Lineage: Eukaryota; Fungi; Glomeromycota; Glomeromycetes; Glomerales; Glomeraceae. The record is from RNAcentral.